This 468-nucleotide ribosomal RNA is filed under the name uncultured bacterium. RNAcentral describes it as "partial 16S ribosomal RNA". It matches the Rfam family "Bacterial small subunit ribosomal RNA", at positions 28 to 507 of the family's 1533-position model. The record is from RNAcentral.
GAUGAACGCUGGCGGCGUGCUUAAUACAUGCAAGUCGAACGGAAAGACCAUGCUCUUGCUGGGCGCUCGUGAGGCGCACGGGUGAGUAUAACGCGUGUAUAAUGUACUUGUCUUUGGGAUAUAUCUUGGAAAAUCGGGCUCAUAUAGCAUAGAAGCUACUGAUGCAUGGUGGUGGAUGGUAAGAUUCGGCGGUAUUGGAUGGUCUAGAGGCUUAUCCGCUUGUUGGUGGAGUAGUGGCUGACCAAGGCUUUGACGGGUAGCCGGCCUGAGAGGGUGACCGGCCACAAGGGGACUGAGGGACGGCCCAGACGGCUACGGGAGGCAGCGGGCGAGAAUAUGACAGAAUAGGCGGAAGCCAGAUGCAGAGACGCCGCGUGCGGAAUAACGGCCUUCGAGUUGUAAACCACUUUCGACGGAAACAAAGCGGGAUUGACGGUAACGAGUAAGGAAGCACCGGCUAACUACGUG